CCUGAAUCACAGUACUGCCUGAUGUUUUCUAACUGCAAAGGUCAGCCUGAUGAGUAAUUCUGAGCCUUCACCAAGAAAUGGUGAUUAUUCAGAGAAGAAUGCUAAGCAGCUGGACUGUAUGUAUCAUAUGGACGACCGCUUGUGGGUAACUUCAGACUGCAGUUUUGUCUACGGGGAAAAAAUCAGAUGAGACAUUCUGAGGAAAACCCUGAAGCAGGAAAAAAUGAGCCAUAUGGAAACUUUGCUCCAGUUUGCCCUAAACUCUGGUGAUGUUCUGUGAAGAGGAGGAUGAAGAAUGGAGAAAAUUGUUUUGACUGGUCAGCAACAUGGAGGUUGAGGAAAAUUGAAGAAAGAAAUACUGUCUGGGAACCAGUUUCAUUUAAUUUUCUCUUUUCAUUCUUGUAACUGCCCAAGUGGAAGCAUUUGCUGCUCUGGGAAGGAAAGGAUUUCCCCAUGGAAGACAGCUUUUUGGCAAGUCAAUAAGUUUCUAACCUGCCAAAUAGUUGUGGUGGCGUUGUCCCAGGAAAGCAUUCAGUACUUCUGUUUUGGAGAACUGAAAACAGAACUCAAAUACAGUACAAAGUUAAGACAAGAACCUUUUGCAGCUUCAACAACAUCUCUUCAGCUAAGUACCUACUUAAUUGAAAAACAGUGCAGUGUGUGGGGGAAGAAAAACCACUCUACCCAAACCUUUCUCUAUGCAGGCUGAGAAAGUGAGCUACAGAUGGAUUCCAGAGGCAUCGUUUCUCAUGGAUCAUUCUUCACUGCUAUUCCUUUAGUCUUAGGAGCACUUUAGCAGCAGGUUUGACAAACAGCUCAUCUCCUGCAUUAUGUUGGGCCAAAACCUGUGAAGGUUUAAAGCUUGAACUUGUGAACUCAGUGACUGGUGCUAUGGUCUGCAGUAUUGCUUUAGUGAGGAUCCUUCCUUCACAUCAUCCAUCACAGACAGGCACUGAGGUGAGAAAGAGAAUAACAAAUUAUAGAGUCGUGCAACGCACCAAGACCUGUAGAAGAGAAGAUUUGCUAAACUGGAACAGCUUAACUAAGUGAUGUUUGGACCUGAUACAGCGUGCUAAUCAUUGAGUUUCAAGGGAGCCUACUGCUUUUGCCAGCCCUGCAGAUUCACCCCAUCCGCACUGCUAAAUGAAAAAGUUUUUGCGUUUCUGGUGUCUGUGUGGAGGACUCAGCAAGCAAACAGCGUGUCCUGGCAGGCAACAUCUGUGCUCUGCACCUGCUGGAAGAUAGUCAGUGCCAAGUGGUGGAAAGACAAUGACAUCUGAAUUUCUGCAAUGCGUGAUACAUGCAUAUCCUAAACAUAUGGAAAUAUCUGUGACUGCAGAUGACUACCUCCAGCUCCUUUUGAAGUGAGCUUUCAGGAGCACACAACGUUGAGUAAACUUUCUUGGAACUGCUUGUAGCUCAAAGGCCUUGAAAAGCCAGUCUGCUUUUCCUCACAAACCCCAGUGAACAUGAGAGUUAGCAUUCAAUCGUCAUGACAUCAGAGCUGCCAUUUGAGAGUGAUGGUGGUGGAGAACUCAUCCAGGAAGUUCAAAGGGAACUGAAAGGCAAAGGGAAUCGUUUCUGUCUCACCUUGUUGAUUACAAACCAGUUGGACUAAAGCAGGAACGCCAAGCAUAGCACGGUAAUUCCUCCAUUUUCUAUCUUGUUAGGUUACUUUUUAAAAUACCUAUAAACACUGUUGAUAAUCCUUUGUUUUCCUUUGUACAUGUUUUAGCAAUCUGGAGCCAGUGUUUCUUUCCAUUUGUCCUAGAAUAAUCCCUAAUGGAUAGGUACUGCUGAACAUAAAUGUGAUGACAGCUAAUUGCAGACAUAUGAAUGUCUUUUUUUGUGUGUGUACAUGUAUAUGUAUUUACAAGAAAAGUUCUGACCAGUCUAUACUGUACUUUUAAAUCUGACUUUUUCUUCCUCUCUCCAGGUUAGUAGUGUCUAAGAGAUAUAGAUUAACCAGGUAUAAGCAUAAGUUUCAAAAACACCUCUCUCUUCAAGCUGCUGUUUCUACCUACUAGAAAUGAUGCAAGUGAUUUCUGUCUGCACUGAAAAUCAGAGUAAUUCAGGAUGUCAUUCCCUUUCUCUCUGUGCAAAGGUAGUAAAAAUCAAGCUGAAAUUGCCUUUCAAGAAUGAUUUUCAGUGGAAGAAUCAAAAUCAAGCCUGCCAAUGUGAGGAAAUCCAAUUUUGUUGUCAAGCACUUUUCUUUCAUGAGAACAGUGUGUUAGGGUACCUGUCCUCUAUAGAACAUGGAAGUGCAAGCAAGUAAAAGUCUGUGCAAACAAUCUGGCCCUCCACGUGUUGUCAAGGCCUUCAUCAUUAGUGUCAUGUGAUCUUGUUUGGGUUUUUGUUGUCUGGUUUGAAAAGUAUUUUUGCUAGUGUCAUACACAACAUUUUCUGUGUUUAUUUAAUGAUGCUAUGGGUCACUGAUAAAAGAAGAGGGAAAUGGAGAGCUGAAAAGUGAAUAGUGACACUGAAAUUUCACUGGUGUACAAAGCUCAAGUAGAGCAAAAGGAUAGCCCCAUGGAAAAGCCACGAUCUAAAGCUGUUUGGGAGUAGAUUCAAGUAAAAUUUUUGUUUACGUGACAGUGCACAGCUCAUGGAAGUGGCAGUUAAGUUUCAGCCAUUCAGACUUUUACAUUUUAGCCUAUGCUCUUUAGUCUACUUUUAAUAGAAAAGCAAGUUAGAUAAUCUUACCUAAUGCUGCAAAUCAAGCAGAGUUUCAAAGAAGAAAGUACACUUCUUUUUGGAUUGCUGUUGUCUAAAUGUUAUCAACUGCAACAUAUUGCCCAUGAAUCAAAGAGAAUAAUUUCACUAGAAGCAGGGGAAGGACUUGGGGAAAUAUACAUCUGUUACUUAAGAGGCAGCAAAUAAUGGAUGAUAUGGAAAAUAUUGAAUGCUUAAUGCUCUUUUCCUGCUGACUUAAAAAAUGCCUUAAUGUGACUACAUGUUUAGUAGCACGAAAAAUAACAAACAAAAAAACAAACAAACAAAAAGGGAUUAUGAGGCUGUUCCAAAGUUAAGGGGAAAAAAAACAUCACAGGAAAAUUUUGAGGGAAAUUGUGGCCAUCAAGGUCGAGAAAGAACAGAAAACUUGUUGUGGAGCUGCCAAGAAACUAACUGAGGCAAUCUUGAGGGACAAAAGAGAUACAGUAGAGAAAAGCAGCUCUAACAUCUAUUUUUAAAUGAAGGAAUUAAUGUUCUAUAGUGUUAUAGACUAGUCAUCUGAAUUGCGUAUCAAAAAGAUAUCAAGCUUACUAAGUUAUGGGGAAGAGCUUAUACGAUGACAAAUGGGAUCUGCCUAGUGUAAUUUGCAAGCAAACUGGUUCAGUGAGUAUGAGGUGGUUAGCCAUAGAUGAGAUAUGCUUUGAUGCUGCAUGAAGCUUGUCAGAAGCAAACUAGUAGAUCUAACAUAAGGAAGAUAUGUUCUGCUUUCUGCUGUCAUCCCGAAAGAAUGGUACAAAAAGGCUAUUCCCUCUUCUUUUUUUUUCCAUUGUUUUAUUGUGGUCCAGAUUCCCUGUAGUGGUCAGUAAGAUAGGAAAGUAAUGUGCAAUUUGCUGGAGGCUUUCUUUUUUUCAUGCUAGCAGUGAGGCUCAGUGCAGGACUGACUCCAAGAAUGCAGACAGGGCUGCCUGGUUUUGAAGGCUCAUAAUUCACUCGUUCUGACUUCACUUUUGUCCCCUGGUUGGAGAUCUUAGCCGCGUCUGAGGUACCACAAGCAAAAGCCUGCAGGAGUAGCCUCUCCUGAUGGCACUGGAGUGUGUGUGGGGAGGGCAUGAACCUUUAGGAUUAUUUGUUUGUUACUGUGUAUUUAAAACGCAGGACUUGGGCGUGUAGGAGCUUGGCUACUUGCCUGUCGCUGUCAGUUCCUUCUUUAUCCAUUGCACCUUGCCUUUAUUAAGGCAUCAGAUCUUCACAUCAGCAGUGCAGCUGAUGGGAUCAGGUAGCUUACUUCUGACCAGAUGAGCGUAUCUGCACAUAUACCCUGGAAACUUGCAGGGAAGUGCUGUGGGGAUAUAGUCAGUCUGCAGAGGGGCAAACUGGGGUGCAGAUCAGGCAGCCAGAUCCCAGCCGGGGACUUUGGUUGGAGUAUGGUACGCUGUCUCUUGAGAGGGAAAACAGAUACCAUGUGGAGGAUUUUGUCUCCCUCUGCGUACUGUGCCACUAGGGGCAAGGCUGGGUGUGCAUGCUGCUGUGGCUAUGGGAGCAGAGCCCACUCCAGUGAAAAACAUAAUCUCCAUUGUGAGUCUUAGGGGAGGAUGUGCUUGGGUUCCUUACCGGGAAAUAUAUCUGCCACCAAUACUGAAGAAGCUCAGUGAACGAAAUAAAGUGUUUUUUAGAGAGGAAAACAUAGAGUGCAGUAAGACAUUCAGCGUGCCAAUAUUCAGCAUGCUUUCUGCAUAAUUAGCAUGCAAUUACAGAAAAUAAACACAGGCUCCUUUAGAAUUUUUUAUUAUUAUUAUUACUAUUAUUUUUUGCUGAGGCCUGUUUCAGUAUACAAAGCUAAUACUGCCAUGCCAGAUUUUACACAACAGCUGCCAUUGAUGCUGGCUGCUAUGGAAAAGAACCUCCUGAAGUGAACUUUUUUAUAAGCUUCUCAGUUUAAGCCUCAGCUGUACCUCAUGGCUGUGAUUUACCUGUGGAAGCCUAGCAUUAGCUUGGUCUGGAAUGCUGUGCUUAGCCGUUGCUCAAAUUUGAGUUAAAAUCUACAGUGGAAAAUUCUGUGCAGCGGAAUGCAUUAGUAUUCCAUAGAAGUCAGAAUAUACCUAUACACUGACCUCUAUUUUGAAUCAAUUUUACAGCCUUAAAUGAUUAAGGCUUGAAAUAAAUGAUUGAAUAUGCCUUGUGAGAAUAUGUGUGAUGAAUAAAAAGAUGACAAAUACCUCAUUUUCUGCUGAGACUUGGAGAAGAUACAUCUUGUUAAAAAAAUUAGCAGAGUGAUGAUGAGUAAUAAUCUGAAUUUUCACUGUCAUUUAACGGAGGGAUUUGCUAAACCAGGGUUUUCCUGGGAUGUUUAGAAUCUUUCUUAGCAUAGUACUGCAUUUUGACUCCUAGUGUCCUCUCCUUUUAACUUGAUGAAGUUGUAUGUCUACAUCAGAGCUGUCCACUGCUAGCAAGAAACUUGUGACAGAUGUUCCCAGCUGAAAAGAGACUGAAUUGAUUUCCCUAUGGCUGGCUGUUAAGCUGUAAAAUCAUUUCAGUCACUUGACCUGUGAUUUGAGAAGACUUAGGAAUGGAUCUAAAAUCCUUAGGAGUGCUAUUAGAUAAUAUAUAAUAUAUGUGUGGCAAAAAAAGCCGGUAGCAUUCACUCAGACCUAGCUUUUAGGCCCAGUAUUUAAGUAUGUAUUUCCUGAGAGGCUCCGGUGUACUCUGUAAUUAAUGUAUUCGGUAAUUUAUCACCAAAACCUGUGACAAGUAAUGCCUUUUAACAACAAACAGAAAGAUCACCUUUUUGAAAUUCACCAAGCAGAACCUAUGCAGACCGGUGUCUCUUGCCUCCUUUUGGACCUGAAGGUACUUCCACUUUUUGUUUUAUUAAAAUUCUUAUUUAUCUUGACAUUAAUGUUAUUGAGCAUGUUGUUAGAAAGCAUGGAACUGGUCCUACACUUCUGUGAGAGGAGCUUUAACGUGUCCAGCUGCUCUGUGGUGCCUCUUGGCUGCUGCAGUAGCUUUGGGCAGUUUUCUGACCAUCGGGAAGCUGACCCAGCCAUGUCAAACCUUAUGCACAUUUAUUUCCUGGACAGAUAGAGGAGGCAAUUUCAAAAAAAUAGGCAGACAAAAAUUUCCUUUUGGGGAAGAGUUCUCAAAAUAAAGUGUUGUUUAACAGCAGAACGUUUCUUUAUACUUUCUGUGUAAUUAGCAGAAAGUAAAUUAGAAGAAACUAGCCAGAAGUAAUCUUUAUAAACCUUGUAUUGCGUCAGAAAAGGGCCUUUUUGUGAUUUUGCUGCUAGGGAUUCACGUCAGCACAAGACAUUAAGGAAAGAUUGUUCCAAUGGAAGAUGGAUCCCCCUGGGCCUUGGCACCAUUCUAGCAAAAAAGUAACAUGUCUGCAGGCCUUUGUUACUGGGGUCUGCUUCCCAACCUGCAGCGGGGCAGCUGGGACAACAGCAAGCUUUGUGUUUUUCAUCAAAGAGUAAUAUGCAGAAAUUUUGUAGGCAUAUAUGCAGAAGCCUAGAGGAAUAGGGCCACCAGUAAGAGAAAGCAAAAUUGUCUGAUGUAUGGACUAAACUGUACUCUUGAAUGCAAUACUCCUUAAUAAAACUCCUUACUAAUACUGCAAUCAAAUAUUACACAGAUGAAGCAUGUUUCUUUCUGUACUGUAGUAGAUAUUUUGUGCAAAGCACUAUCAGUACAAGCAAAGUAAGCCUAAUAAAUUAAAUCUCCUCAUAUUAGUCAUUUUCAAAAGACUUUGUCUGUUCCCGUUAAAGUAAAUCCUAUACCUUACCCACUUAAACUGCCGUGGUACUAAGUCUUCCCUAUAUAAUGGUAGCUGCUCAUUUGUCUUGCACGAGUAGUCUUUUUUAGCUGACCUGUGGUAUGACUUUAGCUGAAAAGAAUGCAAAACAGGAGCUGGUAGAGAGCAUUUCUACAUCUGAAGGUCAUAAAUAUUGAACAAAAUCCCUGUCAGGCUUGUAAAGAUGCGUCACGCCUCUUUUGGUUUUGUAGUCUGUCUUUAAAAAGCAAAGGUCUAGGAAGAGUAUUGGGGUAUAUAUAGAAUACUUCUUCACACUCCUAAAGGACUACAGACCCGCUUCUAGAAAUUUAUAAAUUCGUAAUAAGCACAAACACUAUGAGCUUCAAAAUGCUACAUUAAUGCAGUGCUAGCACUUUAAUAUCAGGCACUCAGAAAUCAGAAUAUUUUAGAAGGUUAGGCUGUUCUAAGAGUAAUGUGUCUGAGCUGUAUAUCCCACAUUACAUAUGGCAUAUUUUAAUAGUAAAAAUGUAUUAAAGCUUACAUUUAAAGAACCACUUUCUUGUUCGAUAUGUGAAGCUUAUGGUAAUGAAGAGUGUAAGACAAAGUCAAAUUUGAAGGUGAUCUCUUCAGUGGUUAGGAAUUUUCAAACUCAGGUUUCACAUGUCCUUUUUGGCUGUCAGAUUUUUCAUUGAAACACACAUUAAAUAUGCUAGAUGAAAUAAACAGGGUUGUCAUAGUUAACCAGUUCGCUAUUUAAAUAACAUCAGUACCUCUGAACUACAGUGGUGUUUUUUUUGUUUGUUUUGUUUUGUUCUUUUAAAUGAGAGAUGGAUAUACCUGCCUUGAACUUAAUUACAAAUUAAAAAAAAAAAAAAAAAAAAGGAAAGAAAAACAAAAACAGAUUUUUGAGAGCACCCACUACCUUUUAAGAUGAUCAUCCAUAACCAGCAAAGCAUAUAUUGGAAAAAAAUGUCUGUGGGGUGCUUCAUAUUCUUUCUUUGAGACCAACAUUGAAAAUUCUGUGUCAAAUUGAUCUUAUGAGAGGCUUGAAAUGGAUGCUAUUUUGAUGUCAUACUUUGUUUCAUGGAUGCUUCGAUGUUAUUAGUUCGUAUUGUGCUAUCUGGCAUUACUUAAAUUUUCUCAUAUCUUAACGUCUCCCUGUUUAGAUACACAUAAAGCAGCAUCAGUGGAUGUUUCAGAUUAAUAUUACAGCCCCGUUUUGAUGAGAUAUGCAUCAGAAAUUUCCUGACCCUCCCGUGGUCUUCUAAAGAAUGUUUUUCAGUGGCUAACCUUGACACCUACUUUUAGGAAUCUCACAUCAGCUGGAGGCCUGAGCCUGAACUUGUCAUACUCGCACUGAAUCAGCAUGGCUUCUCACUCUGGCUCUGCUUGAAAGUUAUCUGGGAGAUUAUAGAUGUGGAUGAGACCUGAAAAUGGACACUUCAUUUCCCUGGAUCCCACAUGCCACGACCAGGGAUGGUACACAGCCUUCCAGCCACCUCCCUUGAGCCCACAGGUUACAAGACUGCAGCAGGGAACAGGGCAUUCCUGCCUCACAUCUCAUCCUCAGGCUUAAUGAUUUGUGUCCUCACUAAGUCAUUUACAUCUUUCUUAUUAUCUGUGAAUAUAACUAGUAUCUCCACGGGAGGCUGAGUUCAACCUGUUCUCAUUUACUACUUACUGGAUUGCCUGACCUGAGCGUACUGAACUCAGUUGUUAUAUAAUUAAAAGUGGAAAAAAAGGGACUGUUGAAUUCCUAUCUUUUUCAUCUACUAAAUAGUUUUCCCUUUUUCGUUUUUCUUUUUUUUACUUUAAGCUAAAGAUCUCAGUAGAAGAGACGUUAAUCUAUACUUUCUUGUUUGUGUGUGUUUUACAACUGUUAGAAUAUAAACUAUCAUGUAACAUGUGGAUGUUCAAACACAGUUCCUAAUAAUGAUCUGUAGCCUAACAAACACUGGUUAAUUUUUUUAAGUAGAGUCAUGCAGAGUCCUUGACAUUUUACAAACAUAUCUGUGUGUUAGGAGUAGUAACAUUCUUCCCUAGUACAGUGCCUUCUUUGUUGAUGGCAAUGGUUGCAGAAAGUAUAUUCUAGAUAGAAAACAAUCCCAGACAUAUUCUGAAUCUAAAUAAGAUAUGGCAUAUUUAUUGUGCAGGUGUAUGUCUUUCACUCAUCUGCACAGAUAAAGCAAAAUCAUACUCCAUGAUUGUGUCUUGCUCUGCCUGUCAGAUUAGGAGCACACUGUCUGCAGCAGACUACAGUUUCUAUUCUUGAAAUGAGGCAGCCACUUUGCAGUUUGUGUUACAACAGAGUAGCUGUAUGAAUUUAACAAUCUCAAAAAAUAAUUCUCCUUUAAACAAAGAUGUGCUACGUAAAAAAGAUGUGCUACGUUUUGGCUUCAGCCUGUUUGCCUGUUAGCACUUUCUUCUGCUGGGGAUAAUGGUUGUUCCUGUUUCAGAAUUAACAGCCUUUUAGACAAAAAUGGCCUUUCUCACUGUUGAAGCUUCAACGGGAAAUAAAUGAUGGAAACAAAGUGGAACAGAAAUAAAAAGCAGAUGGGGG
RNAcentral lists this long non-coding RNA (8981 nucleotides) under Gallus gallus (chicken). Lineage: Eukaryota; Metazoa; Chordata; Aves; Galliformes; Phasianidae. The record is from RNAcentral.